CUCGGAGGAGGGGUGCGGGAGGGCCCGACCGGAGGCGAGGGGGCGCCCUCGGGGCGGGUGGGCGCGCACGUGCGCGUGCCCGAGGACUGAGUGAUGCGGCGGAUGCCUGCGCUGGGCCGCGCCGGCCGUCUCCAGCGCCAUUUGUCCCGUGCUGCUUCUCUGCAGAUUCAUAAUCCUGUUCUUGUGAGUGGCUGACCACAUUCUUCACUUCGUACUGUGGGAGCAGAGAGCCAGGAGGUCACCACUGAUCUGCCAUUUUCUCCUUCCACAUCAUUUAUUCUAAACAUCACAACAAUUCCCAGAGAGACUAACCUUGGUAUACCAUGGGACUGCACAAGGAUGUGACUACUAGGUAGCAGGCAGUGGGGAUCAUCCUGGAAGCCGGCUACCACACCCUCUGGCACCUGAACUGCCAUUCUAAUAUCUAUUUUAAAACUAAGGUUUUUAAGACUCCUUCAGCAGCAGAUGAUCUUUGAAAGAAGACAGUUUCUACCCAAGAGCUCUGGAUGAUGAAGACAGCUGCAUGAUAUGGACAGCUUUUUCUCAAACUUCCACUCAAGACCUACGAAACAAGUUCUAGAUGACUGUAGCUAUAGACUGUAAUUCUUUAAUUUGCAUGUUUUUAUUCAUUAUUUUUCUAGCCAUUUUAUUUUGUCUUUUCUGGUUAAAGUUCUGAAUUGUUAACAAACACACUUGUUAUUUCUUAACUAUGUUACUUAUGAGAUCUCUGUGAUCAAUACUGCUUUCCGUAUUCUUAUUCACUCUUAAGUGUAAGUCUAAUACCUGGAUACACUUUGUUCAUGAUUUGGAUUUGGGCAAAACAUGCAAUUGAACCAACUGCUGGGCUUGAAGUCAUUUUCAUCUGAAU
Molecule: long non-coding RNA, 868 nt
Organism: Lemur catta (Ring-tailed lemur)
Lineage: Eukaryota; Metazoa; Chordata; Mammalia; Primates; Lemuridae
Exons: 3
Source: RefSeq, a predicted model, not a curated record